CCAUCUCCAAAAGAGUUUGCACAUCCAAGGUAGGCAUCUUCCCUAGCACCUCCUCCAACAUCGGCCAAGUCAGCUCAACCAACUGACCAACGACUGAAGUCCCAGACUCCUGAUGUUAACCCGCCAUCUUUCUCAUCGAAAAAAAUUGAUUUCGUGAAGGCAUCACUUAUGGAGAUGCCUAGACUUGGUAAGGACCUACUUUGUACAAUGAUGCCCC
This 217-nucleotide long non-coding RNA is filed under the name Elaeis guineensis (African oil palm). Its description in RNAcentral is "long non-coding RNA (EGUI_LNC008886)". The record is from RNAcentral. Lineage: Eukaryota; Viridiplantae; Streptophyta; Magnoliopsida; Arecales; Arecaceae.